RNAcentral lists this long non-coding RNA (201 nucleotides) under Capsicum annuum. RNAcentral describes it as "long non-coding RNA (CANN_LNC011554)". The record is from RNAcentral. Lineage: Eukaryota; Viridiplantae; Streptophyta; Magnoliopsida; Solanales; Solanaceae.
UUUUUUAGAUAAGUAGUGGUUUUGCUAAUGGUAAGACAUGAGAAUGAUAUGUUUGGCAUGUUUAUCAAGAUUAACCCUCCUAUUUUUAUAGCACCAAGUUUGAUGAUACCUGUGAGUUAUUAUUGAUUGCCAUGAGAGACAUCACAAAAUGAGAGUGAUUGAGAGGUAUGGUUUGGAAUUGAUCACUUUUCAAUUUCAGUG